ACCUGAGUGGCUCAGUCGGUUAAGCAUCUGACUUUAGCUCAGGUCAUAAUCUCACAGUUCAUGAGUUUGAGUCCCGCUUCAGGUG
This 85-nucleotide transfer RNA is filed under the name Felis catus (domestic cat). It matches the Rfam family "tRNA". From Rfam's summary of the family: Transfer RNA (tRNA) molecules are approximately 80 nucleotides in length. Their secondary structure includes four short double-helical elements and three loops (D, anti-codon, and T loops). The record is from Rfam by way of RNAcentral. RNAcentral also lists the same sequence under 4 other names. Lineage: Eukaryota; Metazoa; Chordata; Mammalia; Carnivora; Felidae.